CUUGUCUCCACUUUGUUCACCUUGCUGCUGAUUGCAUGAGGGACGAGGGGCCCUGUGCAACUUGCCCUGGUGCAUUUUAUUCCUUCAGACGGUUGGGGUAAGCCAUACAGUCCCCAUUGCACAGCAUUGGAGAUGAAGAGUGAGGAAUUCAUGGACCUGUUGAAAUGAUCAAACAACAUACUUAUUUCUGAAACACAUAAAAAUAUAGUACAUAGUCCCCAACAUAUGAUGUUCACACAAGGGUCUUCCAUGGACUCGAGUGAAGCGACUGGGAGCCCUGCUGCUGAUCUGACUUUCUCCUGCACAGACACCGACUCAGCUCAGAUCUUCACACGUUCACUCCUUCCACCCCACCCACACAAUGGAAUGAGAACAUCUGGCCCUCAGAAACGAUGCAACUGUUAAUUUUACAAAACAAGUGCAAUGCUAUUUACAGGAGAGACAAAGCCUUAGAGAAUGCUUCCAGCUGGUGAAGAUGACUCACUGUGUAGGCAGCUAGUGUUAGAUCAGGCCAUUCUUUUCUUAGUUAAAAUUAAAUUUUCAUAUGUCUCUGCAAACAGACAAAUUAUGAAUAUGCUGGGCCAAAUUCUGCACUCAAAUGCUCACAUUCAUUGCUCACUGAAAUCAGAAGAUGCACGUGAGAAUCUGAGGGCUGAAUUUGACCCAAGAAUUCUACCUAUUAACCUACAAGUUAUUUUUACUGGGUUUGCAUUUUGUACCUAAUAGAGAAAGAAAAAAAUAUUCAUGUUACAAUGCUUAAUAGGAGACUCAGCUAAGUUUUAACUACUGAUUGGACAGUUUGCUAAAUAUUACAAUGCUAGGUGUUAUAGAAAAACCAUUAAUAGGUGAGAUAGACAGAAAUUAGCUAUUGUAUGUGGUGACAUUUUUCUUUAGCUAAAGCUUCAAAAUGUCUUUUAAUUUCUAAUGCAAGCUAAAUUUGAACCAAAAAGUUAACACUUUCACUUGAAUUAUUUAUCUAUUAAGCCUACAAUAUGUGGGCUUUAACAAUUUCUUACCUGGAUUAGUUGUAAAAAUGGUUUUUGAUAUAACAGUCGCAGUCAUGCAGUUUCUAAAUUUGUCAAAAUUUAUUCUCAGCUCUGAUGCAAAUAUUACUGGACACAAAAACAUAAUUCGUUGUUAUUUUAAAUAAGUAUCACACUAAAGAUAAAAAACAGCAGAAAUCUUUCACAACAACAUAGAAAAGGGAUACCUGUUUCUCGUGGCAUCCAACUCUGCACAAGCUGGAUAGAUUCAUUAUCCCAACUAAAUUAAAAAAAAAACUGUUUAUUUAAUAGUGAAAGCAUUGGGAACAUGGGUGACAAAAUAUGAAAAAUAGUAGGGAUUAGCAUUUAUGCCAUUAAGGAGCAUUUAUUCCCCUCAUUCCUCCCCAAAAUAUUAAACAAAGAUCUAAUUAUAGGUGAAAAUGGUCAGAAUGAGCCCAGUCCAGUCUUUAAUUGUGCAUGAACACGUCUGUGUGCAUACCAUUAUUUGUAUAUGCAAACUACUGGGUUUAUAUAACCUGUAUUUGUAUGCUAUGUGCACAAGCACAAAUGCUUUUGGGUGUACAGAUUAUCUCACCUGUACACCCAAAUGGUUAUGCAAACACAACUACAGGCAUAUUUUGAAAAUAUAGCCCAUCAAGUAACUACAAAACUGUCCUUAGUUAUUUCUAAGUGUUUGUUUUCAUUUUAAACCCAUUUUACCCUAACUCCACUUCCCCUUAUUAAUUCUGCUUUAGUCUUUUAUCAUCUUUUAUAUUUCCUUUUUAACUGUUUGGUUUGUGGAGGAAAUGCACUGCACCUACAGCUAUUUUAAAAUGGCAAGUGCUACAUAAAUGCAUAUCUAAUAGUAUGUUUACUUUAUAUUUGCUAGGAGAUUUAAUUAUAAAACUGUUUACCUGUGAAUGUGCUGAUAGGCAUGUAUAAGUACAUUCAUGCAAAGGUAGACCUAUGUUUGGGAGCAAACAAUACACCUCUUUGCAUAAAUAAAAUGUCUAUUGGUCUGAUUGGCAACAGUUUCUUUAUUAUUCCAUACCAUUGAUGACCUUUCAUCAUUUAUUUGUAGCUCAGCUUCACUCUGACACUCUUGAGCUGUAGGUUUGUCAAUAACUCAUAGAAAUAGAGAACA
Non-coding RNA from Chrysemys picta bellii (western painted turtle), 2127 nucleotides. NCBI's taxonomy places the organism in Eukaryota, Metazoa, Chordata, Testudines, Emydidae. The record is from RefSeq and is a predicted model, not a curated record.